GACGAACGCUGGCGGCGUGCUUAACACAUGCAAGUCGAACGGAAAGGCCCUGCUUUUGUGGGGUGCUCGAGUGGCGAACGGGUGAGUAACACGUGAGUAACCUGCCCUUGACUUUGGGAUAACUUCAGGAAACUGGGGCUAAUACCGGAUAGGAGCUCCUGCUGCAUGGUGGGGGUUGGAAAGUUUCGGCGGUUGGGGAUGGACUCGCGGCUUAUCAGCUUGUUGGUGGGGUAGUGGCUUACCAAGGCUUUGACGGGUAGCCGGCCUGGGAGGGUGACCGGCCACAUGGGGCCUGAGAGAGGGCCCAGUCUCCUACGGUAGGCAGCAGUGGGGAAUAUUGCACAAUGGGCGGAAGCCUGAUGCAGCAACGCCGCGUGCGGGAUGACGGCCUUCGGGUUGUAAACCGCUUUCGCCUGUGACGAAGCGUGAGUGACGGUAAUGGGUAAAGAAGCACCGGCUAACUACGUG
Molecule: ribosomal RNA, 468 nt
Filed under: uncultured bacterium
Lineage: Bacteria
Description: partial 16S ribosomal RNA
Rfam family: Bacterial small subunit ribosomal RNA
Source: RNAcentral